RNAcentral lists this long non-coding RNA (510 nucleotides) under Mytilus galloprovincialis (Mediterranean mussel). The record is from RNAcentral. Lineage: Eukaryota; Metazoa; Mollusca; Bivalvia; Mytilida; Mytilidae.
UUGGUUAUGAUCUUGAAUAUUAUUAUAGAUAGAGAUAAACUGUAUACAGCAAUAAUGUUCAGCAAAGUAAGAUCCACAAAUAAGUCAACAAUUACCAAAAUGGUUAGUUGACCCCUUAAGGAGUUAUUCAAUAUUGCCCUUUAUAGUCAAUUUUUAAUAAUUUUCAUAAAUUUUGUCAAUUUUUGUAAUUUUUGUAUUUUAACAAAAUAUUUGCCUCUGUAACUAAUGGGCCAAGUUCAUUAUAAAUAGAGAUAAUUGUAAGAAGCAAGAAUGUUCAGUAAAGUAAGAUCUACAAACAUAUCAACAUCACCAAAACACAAUUUUGUCAUUAAUCCAUCUGUGCCCUUUGUUUAAUAUGCACAUAGACCAAGGUGAGCGACACAGGCUCUUAAGAGCCUCUAGUUUUAUUUAGUCAUUUGUUUGAAUAUACAGUAACUUUUAAUUUAAAGUAUUUGUAGAUAAAAAAAAAAAUAGCAAAUAUAACCAGUUUAUGAAUGAAGCAAAAGGCAC